RNAcentral lists this ribosomal RNA (389 nucleotides) under uncultured bacterium. RNAcentral describes it as "bacterial SSU rRNA". It matches the Rfam family "Bacterial small subunit ribosomal RNA", at positions 28 to 417 of the family's 1533-position model. The record is from RNAcentral.
GACGAACGCUGGCGGCGUGCUUAACACAUGCAAGUCGAGCGGUAAGGCCCUUUCGGGGGUACACGAGCGGCGAACGGGUGAGUAACACGUGGGUGACCUGCCCUCAGCUCUGGGAUAAGCCUGGGAAACUGGGUCUAAUACUGGAUAUGACUCCACGGUGCAUGUCGUGGGGUGGAAAGCCUUGUGCGGCUGAGGAUGGGCCCGCGGCCUAUCAGCUUGUUGGUGGGGUGANGGCCUACCAAGGCGACGACGGGUAGCCGGCCUGAGAGGGCGACCGGCCACACUGGGACUGAGACACGGCCCAGACUCCUACGGGAGGCAGCAGUGGGGAAUCUUGCGCAAUGGGCGAAAAGCCUGACGCAGCGACGCCGCGUGAGGGAUGACGGCCU